GGGUUAUUUAAGGUAAACAGGGAAACAGAGCGUGUCUCGGGGAUCAAAAUGAUAUCAAGAUUACCAUGGUUACGCGGAAUAUUUUGCCACAGGAGCGCUUGCUGUUCGGGGCAUUUGAGGGAAAUGGCGACUUUCACAUCAUGUUGUCAAAAUGCAACAACUUCGGCUUGUAUAGGAUUCUUUCUACAGCGUUAUUUUCAUUUUAUUUUUGAAUCCAGUACAAGUUAAGAUACCUAUUAAAAAUCGUAUGUUUUUUGUUUUUGACAAAAUGUGCUAGAAAAGAUAAUAUUAUACCUUUUACAAAGGCAUGUAGCCAUGUACGCAAUAAAAUAUUCGAUGUUGGAAAGUAUAUGCGAAAGACACAGUUAGGCUGUUGGCAGUUGAAGGGGAGAACUAAAAUGCAAUAUAUACAGCUCAGGAGCUUAAGCGAUUAGAUUCCAAGGUAAGAAAGGUUUUACAUAUCUCUUGUAUUUUUUGGAAUCGAGUUUCUGAUUUAUCAUGGUCUUUUUUAUUCAAUAUAUAUCUUCAUAUUAUGAACUGAGCCCAUCUUGAUCGUACUAUAGACAGAUUUAUUCUUGUCAUGAUGAUAAAUUUAUAUUCGCGCACAAUUUUUGGCUACCACAGUACUUAUUGAACUUGAAGCUCACAAUUGGGUUGGCUUUAAAUAAUAUACAGUUUAUAGUUUAAUUUAAUAAUUAAAAAUAGAUAUGCUAUAAGUGAUAUAAAACAAACUAUUAUCUAGUCUAAUGGGUUAGCAUAUUUGCAAAAUUGUAAAGCACCUUAACACUUACAAGUGUACAGUUUAUAGUUUAAUAAUUAAAAAUAGAUAUGCUAUAAGUGAUAUAAAACAAACUAUUAUCUAGUCUAAUGGGUUAGCAUAUUUGCAAAAUUGUAAAGCACCUUAACACUUAAAAAGUGUAAAAUUGUAAAGCACCUUAACACUUAAAAAGUGUUAAGGUGCUUUACAAUUUUGCAAAUAUGCUAACCCAUUAGACUAGAUAAUAGUUUGUUUUAUAUCACUUAUAGCAUAUCUAUUUUUAAUUAUUAUACUAUAAACUGUAUACUAUUUAAAGCCAACCCAAUUGUGAGCUUCAAGUUCAAUAAGUACUGUGGUAGACAAAAUUAAUAAACUCCCAGAAAGUAGCAUGGGAUAUGAAAGGUACAUCCCGACUGCUAGUUGCUCACACACUUUGAAUAUUAUUGUGUCCUCUGGCUGGAAUCGCCCCUGCGGCCCUGCAAUCCUGGUGCAAUUGCAGCAUUCUAACCAACAGAACUGAGCUACAGAGUCCAGUUGUCAAGCUGGAAUUCAUGUGUGUAUACUUGGGUACUGCUGUGUUUGUAUCGUUAAAUACCAAAAUUGAAACCUAUAACCUUUAAAACAUAUUAACAUUUACUGAUACCUUGACAAGGCAGUAACCAGUAUAUAUACUUGUGGUUAGAGCUCGACAUUUGGACUCUGUACUGUAGCUCAGUUGUUUACGACACUAUAUGUUAUUCUAAGAGAUUCUGUUGGCAUCCCACUCAUUAUAAUAGUUGAAGUGUCUUGUACAUGGAAAUUGUCGAGUGGAAAUUUAUAGACACUUAUUACACCAAUACAAGGAACAGCUGUGAAAAAAAGCAACUGUAGGUCCCUGGCCGGAAUUAGACCUGCGAUUCCAGUGCAGCACUCUAACCAACAGAGGCCAGUUGUCGAGCUCUCUUAUGGGUUAGGGUCAUGGCAGUACCUUUUUAGUAUUAUAUAUGUAUAUAGUACCUUAAUUAGUAUAUAUGUAAUAUACAGUAAUGCAUGAACAGGCCUUAGUCCAGCACUGCAGCAUGGCUGCAGGUUCAAUUCCUGCCAGUGACCUAUAGUUGCUUUUCUCUCAGUCAUUCCUGAUUAGGUCUUAGUAAUAAAUGUUUAUAAAGUUCCACUCAAUAAUUUUGAUGUAAAAGUCUAAGACCUCUCACAUAUCAAUCUAACUAAUGAUUAAACCUACCUUUUAAUUUUCUUUUCCUACAGCUAAUGAUUUAGAUUCAAAAAUUCAAUAGCAAGGACGAAAGUGGUUUUAUAAGCAAACAACCAAGAAAUGUUCAUGUGACAACAGCAGCAAAUUGUAGCCAGUCUAACAGUAACUGUUUAACGUGCACAGUCUGUCGAUCCUGGUGAUCAGGAUUUAUCUCAAGUGACAAAAUUAAUCUUCAAAUAUUUUUAGUCACAAAACACAGGAGUUUAAAGAUUCCCAGUAAAGUGCUAAGUGUAUUUAUUAUGCCACACACAGUGCAUGGUAGUAACAUAGAACUAUCUUCACUUGAAGCUUUGUUUGGUAGCAGGGGAGAAACUACCCCCUUUUAAUUCAGGGGUGUCUGCCUGAAUUGCCCUGCCCAAACCGAUGAUGCAGCAGAUUUUUAUUUCUGGCCACUGUUUCCCCCAAAAUGCUGGCAAACAGAGGUGGGUGGGUGGGGGGAAAUUUUUCUGGACCACCCCCUGAACACCCCCCCCCCCAACUGAAGUUUCGCCCCUGUUUGGUAGGGAUGCAACUACCUGAAAAAUACAAGGAUAAUGUUUCGAGCGAAGGCCCUUUGUCUGGAAGUUUGUUGCAGGGUCUGGAAAAUUACACGAGCUUUUAUGAUCAUGUGACAAAAAUUAAACCAAUCAGAUGCAUUUAGUCAUAACAAAGUAUAUACAAAAAAUAUUAAUAACAUUAUAGAAUAUAUUAAUACAAUUAUACAGAAAACUACAUAUACAUCUACAAAUUAGCAUAUAUCAACACUAUGUUGUUAUUAUUUAAAGUUGCAUCUCUCACUUUGUAUAGAUGUUCUUAUUCUGGGUUAGAUAUAUUAUGCUAAUUUGUAUAUAGUAUUAUUUUUACCUAACCAUAUCAUAACCUAUGUAAACCAUUGUAUUUCUUUAAAAAAAAACAAGAUAUCAGUUGAUGUCCACAUCAUUAUAUUUGUGUUGUAUGCAAUGAUUUUUGCCUGCAGAUUGAUUGAGAUAAGAAAAUAAAAAGCUGAAUGUGCAAAUAAUUACUUCUGGCAAAAUGUAUUGCUUUGAAUCCCUUGUCUGUAGGUCAACAAUAAAUGCAUGCAGUGCCAGUCAAAUGGUCAUGAAAGUGGACACCUUUUUCAAACAGAUUUUUCUUCCCGUGUGAGUAAACCGUAGUACCCAGAGAAAACCUACAACACUUAGUUCAGGGUUGACUCAUUUCAAAAUUCCAACACCAAUAUUGCAAAGAGAAAUUUAGAUUUUUAACUUUCACUUCACUAAAAUAUUUGAGUUGUUUCCUUUGCUAUCUGGGUAUUUAUAGAAAACCAGUCAUCAGAGAAACAUACUCUGACAUCAUGGAAUGUACAACUAUU
Molecule: non-coding RNA, 3336 nt
Organism: Paramuricea clavata
Lineage: Eukaryota; Metazoa; Cnidaria; Anthozoa; Malacalcyonacea; Plexauridae
Source: the annotation of a GenBank genome assembly